Molecule: long non-coding RNA, 529 nt
Organism: Rhinolophus ferrumequinum (greater horseshoe bat)
Lineage: Eukaryota; Metazoa; Chordata; Mammalia; Chiroptera; Rhinolophidae
Exons: 3
Source: RefSeq, a predicted model, not a curated record
CGGUCUGAGAGACUGAUGGUGGCACCCACACAAACCCAUGAUAGACCCCAAUGCUGAUAUCCCCUCCUCCAGCUCCCAUCAGCAUCCAGGGCACUCAUCCAGUGGUGCUGUGCCAUGCCUGUGCUCCACCCCCCGUCCAGCACUCCCACUUUAGCCAAUGGCCUCCCUGCUUCUAAGUGUACCCAUGAAGCUGAUCCCAGAUCACUCCCUGGUAUGUCACUCGACUACCUAAAACCCUCCUCGCCGGCUCCACACUGCCCUCAGGAGAGGGAGGGCUCCCUGCUCCUCACCGGACCCACAAGGCCCUCCCUGGCAGAGCCCUUGUCCAGAACAGGGCCUCUUGGGACACCAUAAUCAGCAGACCCACUCCUGCCUCCUCCUACAAGGAGGCUACAAGGCUAAGCAUGUGGAUGAUCCUUACUAUGACGCUGUUGAUUCAGGAUUCAGAGGAAACGCCCAGUACUUCCUGAGUACACAGAGGUACUGAGUAAAUGCUAUUUUUGUGAUUACUGACCCAAGGCUCGCGCAG